GUGGGGAAUAUUGCACAAUGGGCGAAAGCCUGAUCCAGCCAUGCCGCGUGUGUGAAGAAGGUCUUCGGAUUGUAAAGCACUUUAAGUUGGGAGGAAGGGCAGUAAGUUAAUACCUUGCUGUUUUGACGUUACCGACAGAAUAAGCACCGGCUAACUUCGUGCCAGCAGCCGCGGUAAUACGAAGGGUGCAAGCGUUAAUCGGAAUUACUGGGCGUAAAGCGCGCGUAGAGGGUUUUGUAAGUUGGAGGUGAAAUCCCCGGGCUCAACCUGGGAACUGCCUCCAAAACUGCAUGACUAGAGUACAGUAGAGGGUAGUGGAAUUUCCUGUGUAGCGGUGAAAUGCGUAGAUAUAGGAAGGAACACCAGUUGCGAAGGCGACUACCUGGACUGAUACUGACACUGAGGUGCGAAAGCGUGGGGAGCAAACAGGAUUAGAUACCCGUGUAGUCC
Molecule: ribosomal RNA, 450 nt
Filed under: uncultured bacterium
Lineage: Bacteria
Description: partial 16S ribosomal RNA
Rfam family: Bacterial small subunit ribosomal RNA
Source: RNAcentral